AACUCAUUGGCAUAUUACAUUAAACUUUAACACAUGGGUCUGAGUCAGGUGGGGUUUAAUUGGUAAUGUGAGCUCUCUGCCACAGGAUACGUUGGGUUCAGAUCUUCACCCUGUGUUUUCAUUCCGGACGCCUAGGCACCCGGGUAACAGCUACUUAGUGCUUGCUUAUCUCAGAAGAUCCUGAGUGCCACUGUAAAUCACAAAAGUGCAUUCCAAGCCUCUGGCCGUAUCAUCCCGUUAGUCAAAGCAAGUCUUGAGGCCAUGGCCAGAUUCAGGUUCCUUCUUCCUACUAAGAAGUCAUGGCAAAGGUGCAGAUAUAUAAUUCUGUCAAAGGAGAGAGAACUGGGACCAAUAAUCCAGUCUGUCUCAGAGUCAGAAAAUGAAAAUUAAUCCCCCAGAAAAAGAGGUAUGAAAGAAGCAGGGCC
RNAcentral lists this long non-coding RNA (425 nucleotides) under Bos taurus (domestic cattle). Its description in RNAcentral is "long non-coding RNA NONBTAT005984". Lineage: Eukaryota; Metazoa; Chordata; Mammalia; Artiodactyla; Bovidae. The record is from RNAcentral.